GAGGUACAUGAAAUAAAAGCAAAAUCGAAACAUGAAGGAACUACCCGGGCAAAAGGGGGAGGGUGCAGAUGUACAUGUUCACGUUUUGGGGCAACAAAGUAUACAAAACAUUAAGGCGGUUUUUGUUUUUGACGAAUUCAAGGUUUCAAGUUAAAUAUUUUGGUGGAUAAUGAAUUGGUUGCUCUUAAAAAAUUGUUCAACAUGACAACAAGAAAAUGGUGAAACAUAUCUUUGCUGAAUGGCGUCUUACUUAUUAAUUAUAUGCAGAUACAUUGAAUCAAUAGACUACUUGUAACUAAGAUAUUUGUAGCAGGUGUAUAAUUUUUUUUUCUCCAAUUAUAUGCCAAUUUAUACAUUUCCGAAUGCAUUGUAUACAAAUUUUUAAUCUAUGUGAGGUUGCCGGUGAUAUCAUAUAAGCUUUAUCUGCUCACUGGAUAUAUAACUAGAGGCUCUAAAGAGCCUGUGUCGCUCACCUUGGUCUAUGUGAAUAUUAAACAAAGGACGCAGAUGGAUUCAUGACAAAAUUGUGUUUUGGUGAUGGUGAUGUGUUUGUACAUCUUACUAUCUUACUUUACUGAACAUUCUUGCUGCUUACAAUUAUCUCUAUCUAUAAUGAACUUGGCCCAGUAGUUUCAGAGGAGAAGAUUUUUGUAAAAGAUAACUACGAUUUACGAAAAAUGGUUAAAAAUUGACUAUAAAGGGCAAUAACUCUAAAGGGGUCAACUGACCAUUUCGGUCAUGUUGACUUAUUUGUAGAUCUUACUUUGCCGACAUUUAUUGCUUUUUACAGUUUAUUUUCUAUCU
RNAcentral lists this long non-coding RNA (804 nucleotides) under Mytilus galloprovincialis (Mediterranean mussel). The record is from RNAcentral. Lineage: Eukaryota; Metazoa; Mollusca; Bivalvia; Mytilida; Mytilidae.